GUACACAAAAAUGCACAUGCUGUGAGCUCGAUGAGUAGGGCGGGACACGUGGUAUCCUGUCUGAAUAUGGGGGGACCAUCCUCCAAGGCUAAAUACUCCUGACUGACCGAUAGUGAACCAGUACCGUGAGGGAAAGGCGAAAAGAACCCCGGCGAGGGGAGUGAAAAAGAACCUGAAACCGUGUACGUACAAGCAGUGGGAGCACAGAGCAAUCUGUGUGACUGCGUACCUUUUGUAUAAUGGGUCAGCGACUUAUAUUCUGUAGCAAGGUUAACCGAAUAGGGGAGCCGAAGGGAAACCGAGUCUUAACUGGGCGUUAAGUUGCAGGGUAUAGACCCGAAACCCGGUGAUCUAGCCAUGGGCAGGUUGAAGGUUGGGUAACACUAACUGGAGGACCGAACCGACUAAUGUUGAAAAAUUAGCGGAUGACUUGUGGCUGGGGGUGAAAGGCCAAUCAAACCGGGAGAUAGCUGGUUCUCCCCGAAAGCUAUUUAGGUAGCGCCUCGUGAAUUCAUCUCCGGGGGUAGAGCACUGUUUCGGCAAGGGGGUCAUCCCGACUUACCAACCCGAUGCAAACUGCGAAUACCGGAGAAUGUUAUCACGGGAGACACACGGCGGGUGCUAACGUCCGUCGUGAAGAGGGAAACAACCCAGACCGCCAGCUAAGGUCCCAAAGUCAUGGUUAAGUGGGAAACGAUGUGGGAAGGCCCAGACAGCCAGGAUGUUGGCUUAGAAGCAGCCAUCAUUUAAAGAAAGCGUAAUAGCUCACUGGUCGAGUCGGCCUGCGCGGAAGAUGUAACGGGGCUAAACCAUGCACCGAAGCUGCGGCAGCGACACUGUGUGUUGUUGGGUAGGGGAGCGUUCUGUAAGCCUGCGAAGGUGUGCUGUGAGGCAUGCUGGAGGUAUCAGAAGUGCGAAUGCUGACAUAAGUAACGAUAAAGCGGGUGAAAAGCCCGCUCGCCGGAAGACCAAGGGUUCCUGUCCAACGUUAAUCGGGGCAGGGUGAGUCGACCCCUAAGGCGAGGCCGAAAGGCGUAGUCGAUGGGAAACAGGUUAAUAUUCCUGUACUUGGUGUUACUGCGAAGGGGGGACGGAGAAGGCUAUGUUGGCCGGGCGACGGUUGUCCCGGUUUAAGCGUGUAGGCUGGUUUUCCAGGCAAAUCCGGAAAAUCAAGGCUGAGGCGUGAUGACGAGGCACUACGGUGCUGAAGCAACAAAUGCCCUGCUUCCAGGAAAAGCCUCUAAGCAUCAGGUAACAUCAAAUCGUACCCCAAACCGACACAGGUGGUCAGGUAGAGAAUACCAAGGCGCUUGAGAGAACUCGGGUGAAGGAACUAGGCAAAAUGGUGCCGUAACUUCGGGAGAAGGCACGCUGAUAUGUAGGUGAAGUCCCUCGCGGAUGGAGCUGAAAUCAGUCGAAGAUACCAGCUGGCUGCAACUGUUUAUUAAAAACACAGCACUGUGCAAACACGAAAGUGGACGUAUACGGUGUGACGCCUGCCCGGUGCCGGAAGGUUAAUUGAUGGGGUCAGCGCAAGCGAAGCUCUUGAUCGAAGCCCCGGUAAACGGCGGCCGUAACUAUAACGGUCCUAAGGUAGCGAAAUUCCUUGUCGGGUAAGUUCCGACCUGCACGAAUGGCGUAAUGAUGGCCAGGCUGUCUCCACCCGAGACUCAGUGAAAUUGAACUCGCUGUGAAGAUGCAGUGUACCCGCGGCAAGACGGAAAGACCCCGUGAACCUUUACUAUAGCUUGACACUGAACAUUGAGCCUUGAUGUGUAGGAUAGGUGGGAGGCUUUGAAGUGUGGACGCCAGUCUGCAUGGAGCCGACCUUGAAAUACCACCCUUUAAUGUUU
Molecule: ribosomal RNA, 1853 nt
Filed under: Escherichia coli
Lineage: Bacteria; Pseudomonadati; Pseudomonadota; Gammaproteobacteria; Enterobacterales; Enterobacteriaceae
Description: partial 23S ribosomal RNA
Rfam family: Bacterial large subunit ribosomal RNA
Source: RNAcentral